AUACGUAGGGAGCGAGCGUUGUCCGGAAUUACUGGGUGUAAAGGGCGUGUAGGCGGUCUUGCAAGUCAGAAGUGAAAUUCCUGAGCUCAACUCGGGCGCUGCUUCUGAAACUGCAGGACUUGAGUGCUGGAGGGGAUAGCGGAAUUCCUAGUGGAGCGGUAAAAUGCGCAGAUAUUAGGAAGAACACCGGUGGCGGAGGCGGCUAUCUGGACAGUAACUGACGCUGAGGCGCGAAAGCGUGGGGAGCAAACAGGAUUAGAUCCCCUGGUAGUCCACGCCGUAAACGAUGAAUACUAGGUGUAGGGGGUAUCGACUCCCUCUGUGCCGCAGUUAACACAAUAAGUAUUCCGCCUGGGGAGUACGGCCGCAAGGUUGAAACUCAAAUGAAUUGACGGGG
This 397-nucleotide ribosomal RNA is filed under the name uncultured bacterium. Its description in RNAcentral is "partial 16S ribosomal RNA". It matches the Rfam family "Bacterial small subunit ribosomal RNA", at positions 523 to 918 of the family's 1533-position model. The record is from RNAcentral.